This 273-nucleotide ribosomal RNA is filed under the name uncultured bacterium. RNAcentral describes it as "partial 16S ribosomal RNA". It matches the Rfam family "Bacterial small subunit ribosomal RNA", at positions 81 to 350 of the family's 1533-position model. The record is from RNAcentral.
CGGGAACAAACCUAGCGGCGGACGGGUGAGUAACGCGUGGGUAACCUGCCUCAUACAGGGGGAUAACAGUUGGAAACGGCUGCUAAUACCGCAUAAGCGCACAGUACCGCAUGGUACCGUGUGAAAAACUCCGGUGGUAUGAGAUGGACCCGCGUCUGAUUAGGUAGUUGGUGGGGUAACGGCCUACCAAGCCGACGAUCAGUAGCCGACCUGAGAGGGUGACCGGCCACAUUGGGACUGAGACACGGCCCAAACUCCUACGGGAGGCACAUG